ACAAAACAGGCAAGGCAAAUAGGUUUCUUUCCUGGAGCUUGGAUACACUCUUAUCCUGCCCUUGGUCAGCAGAACUCCAGGCUCGCUGGCCUUUGGACUCUAGGACUUACACCAGCAACCCCCACUCCUACCCCAGGUUUUCAGGCCCUGGAACUUGGCCUGAACAACACUACUGGCAUUCCAGGAUCCCCAGCAUGUAGAUGGCUGUCACAGGACUUCUCAGCCUCAGUAAUCAGACACAGAUUGCUGCAGACAUCAUGGGUGAUCAUGGAAGACAAGUUCGCCUCCCUGUUUGGCUUUUGAUCACGAAAUUUGGAAAUGAGACAGAGAAAUACUGGACAAUCUGUGGAGACUCGCUUGAACGAGAACUAUGAAGCCAAAAGAGGUCGGAUGGGCACCUUCCACCCUGUGCAAACAGAGAAAGCCACAGGAGCAAAAGCAGCACGUGUGCGGGAAGACGGAGCACCGAGACCAGGAGACCCCGAGGAAAGAGGAGGGCGGCAGAGUGGCUGCCUCUGUUCUGAGAAGGGUCUGACUCCUGCUUCCCUUCCUUUCAGAAGCCAAAAUUCUUCACUCUCCUGCAUUCCAUGAUUGUAACUCUAAAGAUGUCAGAGGCAUGUUCUGUAUUGAUCUCUGUGAUGACGACCUCAGAGUCCAGAAACCAAAAGCAGCUUGGAUCUCAGGCAAGGGGAGGCUGUGGUACGCAUCAAGACAGCAUACCUUCUGCAAGAGAUUACUUGCAGAGAAAAAUAAAAGAACAUUUAAGGCCCCUGAGAAGAAACUGUAGUGAGACUCUUUGAGAAAUUGAGACAUUUAAAAAUAGCCAUGUGUAUACAGGAAUGGAAAAAAAGGAUGCACACAAGACCAGGAGAGGCAUAUACCAAGAAAAGGCCUAAGAACUUAAGCCAUCACAUCCUGCUGAUUAGUGAAGGUCUUCCCUUGCAUGGAGGCAGCUUACAAAGACUUGAAGAGGUGGUUGUUUUUUCAAAUGCCAAAUUUUCAACAUAAUGUCACUAGGCAUACAAAGAAACAGUAAAAUAUGCCCCAUUCAAAGGAAAAAAAAAAUCUCCAUAAGAUUUUCCGGAAGAAACAUAGACUUAAAACUUACCUGAAAAGACUUUAUAAAAACUGCCUUACAUAUGCUCAGAGAGCUAAAGAAAAACAUAAGAAAUAAUAAAAAGUAAUCAUGAAAACAAUAUAUGAAUAAAAUUAGACUAUGAAAAAAGGGAUGAAAUAAUAGAAAAAGAAUAAGAAAACAACCAAAAACAAAUUCUAGAGCUGAAAAAUACAUCAGAUUUGAACAAGCAGAAAAAACAAUCAGUGAACUUGAAGACAUAUCAUUUGAAAUUACUGAGUCUGAAGAUUAAAGAAAGAAGAAAUGGGAAUAAAGCCUAAGGGACUUAAGAAACACCACAAAGUAGACCAAUAUAUGCAUUAUGAGAGUUCCGGGAAAAGAAAUAGAGAGAAAGGAAAAGAGUUUAUUUGAAUAUGUAACUACUGGAAAUGUUCCAAAGUUGAAGAAAGAAAUGGACAUAUACAUAUAAGAAGCUCAAUGAACUUUAAGUAGGAUAAACCCAAGGAUACCCACAGUGAGAUACAUUAUAAAAAAAUGUCAAAGACCAAAGAGAAAUUGAGAAUCUUGAAAGUAGCAAGAAACUAAUUUAUCAUUUACAAAAGAUUCUCAACAAGAUCAUCAUUGAAUUUCUCAGCAGAAAUCUUGCCUCCCAGAAGGCGGUGGAUUUUAUACUUAAUGUGCUAAAAGGAAAAAGCAAAAGCAAAAUCAAACAAACAAACAAAUCUGUCACCCAAUAAAUCCAUAUCCAGCAAAACUGUCUUUCAAAAAUAAGAGAGAAGUUAAGACAUCCCCAUAUAAACAAAAGCUGAGGGAAUUCAUUACCACUAGACCUGCACUUCAAGAAAUAUGAAAGAGAGUCCUUCAAGUUGAAACAAAAGAAAGCUGGAAAGUAAUUUAAAUUUGUAUGAAAAUAUAAAGUUCUCUGGUAAAUAUAAUAUAUGGACACCUACCAAAAAACCUGUAUUAUUGUCAUUUUAGUUUAUAACUCCAAUUUUAUUCUUUCAUAGGAUUUAAAAUAUAAAACUAUACAUAAUAAUAAAUCUAUGUUCAUGGGUACACAAUGUAUAAACCAAUAAUUUGUGACAUCAGUAACAUAUAGGGGGAUCCAAGCUGUCCAGGAGUAGAGUUUUUGUAUGUAAUUUAAGUUGUUAUCAAUUUAAAAUAGUUUUUCUAACCUUAGGAUAUUGUAUAUAAGCCCUAUGUGCAAAUCAUGGGGAUAUAGCAUAAAGAAAAUACCUAUAGAAUAUACACAAAAUAGAAUGAGAAUUAAUCAAAAUGCAAGCCUACCAAAAACUAAAAUAAACACAAACGAAGGCAGUAAAGGAGGAAAUGAGGGACAAAAAAACUAUAAAGUGUACAGAAAAAAUAUAUAACAAAACAGCAUAGUAAGUCAGUGAUUACUUUAUCAGUGAUUACUUUAAAUGUAAAUGGAUUAAACGGCACAAUCUAAAAACACAGAUUGGCAGAAUGGAUUAAAAAACAGCAUCCAACUAUAUGCUGUGUCCAAGAGACCCAGUUUAGAUUUAAAUGCACACAUAGUUCAAAAGUGAAAGGUUGAAAAAGUAUUUGCUAUACAAAUAGUAAACAAAAGAGACCAGAGGUGGCUAUGGGAUAGCACACAAAAUAGACUUUAAGUCAAAACUCUCACAAAAAACACAUGAUGUUAUAUAAUAAUAAAGAGGCCAAUUUACCAACAAGAUACAAAAAAAUAAACAUAUAUACUAAAUAGCAGAACAUCUGAAUAUAUGAAACUAAGUUUGACAGAAUUGAAUAGAGAAAUUGCUCUACAAGACCAGUAGGAGACAUUAGCACUCCACUUUCAAUAAUAGAUAUAACAAACAGACAUAAGAUCAAUAAGGAAAUAAAGAGCUUGAACAACACUACAGACCAAUUAGACGUAACAGAAAUGUACAGAACACUCCACCCAGCAAAGGCAGAAAACACAUUUUUCUCAAGUGGACAUAAAACAUUCUUCAGGAUAGAUCAUAUGUUAAGGCAAAAUAUAAGUAUUAGUAAAUUUAAAAAGACAGAAAUCAUACUAAGUAUCUAUUCUUAUUAGAAUGAAAUAAAACUGGAAAACAACAGCAUAAGGAAAACUGGAAAAUCUACAAAUAUGUGUGAAUUAACACAUUCUCAAACAAUCAAUGAAUAAAAAAACAAUUUUUAUAACAAUCUUGUGACAAAUGAAAAUGAAGACACAACAUACCAAAAGUUAUAGGAUGCAAUAGAAGCAGUAUUAGGAUAGAAAUUCAUAGCACUAAACACUUACAACAAAAAAGAAAAAAAAACACUCA
This 3369-nucleotide long non-coding RNA is filed under the name Homo sapiens (human). RNAcentral describes it as "HSALNT0183700". The record is from RNAcentral. Lineage: Eukaryota; Metazoa; Chordata; Mammalia; Primates; Hominidae.